RNAcentral lists this unclassified non-coding RNA (353 nucleotides) under soil metagenome. RNAcentral's name for it is "partial contains 5.8S ribosomal RNA, internal transcribed spacer 2, and large subunit ribosomal RNA". The stretch from base 1 to 120 matches the Rfam family "5.8S ribosomal RNA", at positions 35 to 154 of the family's 154-position model. The record is from RNAcentral.
GAUGAAGAACGCAGCGAAAUGCGAUAAGUAGUGUGAAUUGCAGAAUUCAGUGAAUCAUCGAAUCUUUGAACGCACAUUGCGCCUCCUGGUAUUCCGGGAGGCAUGCCUGUUCGAGCGUCAUUAAAAUCACUCAAGCUUAGGUUUACCUAUUGCUUGGUCUUGGAGAUGGAAGCCAAUUUAUUGGAAUCCUCUUCGAAAUUCAAUGGCGAAGACCCUUGCUCUCCCAAGUGUAGUAAUAACUUAUGUCACUGAAGGAAGCGAGAAAUCUUCUGCCGUAACCCCCAUAUUUUCUAUGAUUGACCUCGGAUCAGGUAGGGAUACCCGCUGAACUUAAGCAUAUCAAAAGCGGAGGA